AAACUGAGGAUAAUACUGGAUAGGCAAUUUUUCCUGUAAUGGUUUUUUGUUUAAAUGUUUUUUCGCCUAAGGAUGGGUCUGCGGCCGAUUAGGUAGUUGGUUAGGUAACGGCUUACCAAGCCGUUGAUCGGUACGGGUUGUGAGAGCAAGAGCCCGGAGAUGGAACCUGAGACAAGGUUCCAGGCCCUACGGGGUGCAGCAGGCGCGAAACCUCCGCAAUGUGAGAAAUCGCGACGGGGGGAUCCCAAGUGCCAUUCUUAACGGGAUGGCUUUUCAUUAGUGUAAAAAGCUUUUGGAAUAAGAGCUGGGCAAGACCGGUGCCAGCCGCCGCGGUAACACCGGCAGCUCUAGUGGUAGCAAUUUUUAUUGGGCCUAAAGCGUCCGUAGCCGGUUUAAUAAGUCUCUGGUGAAAUCCUGUAGCUUAACUGUGGGAAUUGCUGGAGAUACUAUUAGACUUGAGACCGGGAGAGGUUAGAGGUACUCCCAGGGUAGAGGUGAAAUUCUGUAAUCCUGGGAGGACCGCCUGUUGCGAAGGCGUCUAACUGGAACGGUUCUGACGGUGAGGGACGAAAGUUAGGGGCGCGAACCGGAUUAGAUACCCGGGUAGUCCUAACUGUAAACGAUGCGGACUUGGUGUUGGGGUGGCUUUGAGCUGCUCCAGUGCCGAAGGGAAGCUGUUAAGUCCGCCGCCUGGGAAGUACGGUCGCAAGACUGAAACUUAA
RNAcentral lists this ribosomal RNA (722 nucleotides) under uncultured archaeon. Its description in RNAcentral is "bacterial SSU rRNA". It matches the Rfam family "Archaeal small subunit ribosomal RNA", at positions 137 to 859 of the family's 1478-position model. The record is from RNAcentral.